GACGAACGCUGGCGGCGUGCUUAACACAUGCAAGUCGAACGGUGAAGGGACUGGUUUUGCUGGUCCUGGAUGAGUGGCGAACGGGUGAGUAACACGUGAGUAACCUGCCCCCUUCUUCUGGAUAACCGCAUGAAAGUGUGGCUAAUACGGGAUAUUCUGGGUCUGUCGCAUGGUGGGCCUGGGAAAGAUUGCGCCUUUUUUGGUGUUUUUGGUGGGGGAUGGGCUCGCGGCCUAUCAGCUUGUUGGUGGGGGGAUGGCCUAACAAGGCGGUGACGGGUAGCCGGCCUGAGAGGGUGGACGGUCACACUGGGACUGAGACACGGCCCAGACUCCUACGGGAGGCAGCAGUGGGGAAUAUUGCACAAUGGGCGCAAGCCUGAUGCAGCGACGCCGCGUGAGGGAUGGAGGCCUUCGGGUUGUGAACCUCUUUCGCCAGUGAAGCAGGCCUGCCUCUUUUUGUGGGUGGGUUGACGGUAGCUGGAGAAGAAGCGCCGGCUAACUACGUG
This 506-nucleotide ribosomal RNA is filed under the name uncultured bacterium. RNAcentral's name for it is "partial 16S ribosomal RNA". It matches the Rfam family "Bacterial small subunit ribosomal RNA", at positions 28 to 507 of the family's 1533-position model. The record is from RNAcentral.